GCAUCGCAAUAGAUGCGAUAUAAAAUUUGAUAUUUAUUUUGCCGUGCUAAGCGGGGAGGUAGCGGUGCCCUGUACCUGCAAUCCGCUCUAGCGGGGCCGAAUCCCUUCUCGAGGUUCGUUUACUUUAAGGUCUGCCUUAAGUAAGUGGUGUUGACGUUUGGGUCCUGCGCAAUGGGAAUUCAUGAACCAUGUCAGGUCCGGAAGGAAGCAGCAUUAAGUGAAACCUCUCAUGUGCCGCAGGGUUGCCUGGGCCGAGCUAACUGCUUAAGUAACGCUUAGGGUAGCGAAUCGACAGAAGGUGCACGGUAAAUCAAUCAUCAAAUUUUCAGACUCACCUAUCAUUAGGUGAGUUUU
Molecule: signal recognition particle RNA, 354 nt
Filed under: Bacillus spizizenii str. W23
Lineage: Bacteria; Bacillati; Bacillota; Bacilli; Caryophanales; Bacillaceae
Description: Bacillus subtilis subsp. spizizenii str. W23 small cytoplasmic RNA (scRNA, 4.5S RNA), signal recognition particle-like (SRP) component
Rfam family: Bacterial large signal recognition particle RNA (bases 42-306)
About the family: The signal recognition particle (SRP) is a universally conserved ribonucleoprotein involved in the co-translational targeting of proteins to membranes. Archaeal SRP consists of a 7S RNA and homologues of the eukaryotic SRP19 and SRP54 proteins.
Source: RNAcentral